GUCUGACGUGGCUUCUGAUUGAGUGCAGGAAGCUCCUGCAGCCAAUCGGAAGCCACACCUUGGUUUUUGAAUGGUUUCAGGAAUCGAACGGAGUCCCGGAAUGGAUUAUGUUCGAGAACCAAGGUACUUACCUUUUCCUGCUCACCUCAUGCUGUAUGUGACAGGUGUACAGUCACAUCUCGUGUUGUGUUUGCUUCAGGUUGAGCGUUUUCAGGUUGCGUCCCGCGAUGACCCGGAAGUACCAGAAAGGGUUACUUCCGGGUUUCGCCGCUCGCGCAUGCGCAGAUGCUCAAAAUGACGUCAAGCGCAUGCACAGAAGUGGCAAAUUGCGACCCGCGCAUGCACAGAUGUGCAAACGCAGGUUGCGUUCUGCUCAUAGAAUCAUAGAAUCAUAGAGUUGGAAGAGACCACAAGGGCCAUCGAGUCCAACCCCCUGCCAAGUUCGCAAUCCCAUUCGCAACCAGAGGUACCACUGUCUGUUGUUUUAGACUGGAAGCUAAACAGAGCGUGCUGAAGGCCAGACAGAGGGGUCUGGACCAUUUCGACUCCCAAGCCUGAGGUUUGCCCACCCCAGUAUAAAGGGCCGUGCAGAUAAUGUGAUGCAAAGGAUAUUGAACUUUCAGCAAAACACCGUGAUUCAUUAACCAACCCUGGCGCUUCAGAAAUGCAGUGCUAAAUUUCUAAAUGUGCAUUCCUGUGCCGAGAAGUGUGACAUGUCCCUCUGCUAGACUGGCUUCCCGAAUCCCCUUGACCCUUACCCUCGCAUUUCUAACCUCCUCACCUUUGCUGUGAUAAACGUCAAGGGCUAAGCUCCUUACUGCCUGCUGUGGAACCCGGCACAUACUUGCACAUGGCUCCCCAAAUCAACACAGACUGUGGAAACUUCACACUGGACUUCAAGCAUCUGGUAUUGUGUGCCUCCCCAUUCUUCCUCCAGACUCUGGGGCCUUGGUUUCCAAAUGAGAUGCAAAAGCUGCUCUCAUCAGAAAAGAGAUUUGGGGAGCCAUGUCAUCAGCUGGUGUUGGUCCACUGUGCUUCAUUAAGUCCAGGGUCCACGCAGCUGUCUACCAGGAGAUUUUGGAGCACUUCAUGCUUCCUUCCGCAGACGAGCUUUAUAGGGAUGCUGACUUCAUUUUCCAGCAGGACUUUGGCAUCUGCCCACACUGCCCAAAGUAUCAAAACCUGGUUCAAUGCCCAUGGGAUUACGGUGCUUGACUGGCCAGCAAACUUGCCUGACCUGAACCCCAUGGAGAAUCUAUGGGGCAUUGCCAAGAGACAGAUGAGAGACAUGAGACCAAGCAAUGCAGAAGAGCUAAAGGCUGCUACUGAAGCUUCUUGGUCUUCCAUAACACCUCAGCAGUGCCACAGGCUGAUAGCAUCCAUGCCACGCCGCAUUGAGGCAGUAAUUGAUGCAAAAGGGCCCCAAACUAAGUACUGAGUACAUAUGCAUGCUUCUACUUCUCAGAGGUCCAAUAUUGCUCUAUUUGCAGUCCUUGUUUUGCUGAUUUCAUUUAAUAUUCUAAUUUUCUGAGAUUGUUAUUUUGGGGUUUUCAUCAGCUGUACGCCAUGAUCAUCACAAUGAUAACAAAUAAAGGCUUGACAUAUCUCGCUUUGCAUGUCAUGAGUCUGUCUCAUAUAUUAGUUUCACCUUUUAAGUUGAAUUACUGAAAUAAAUGAACUUUUCCACAAUAUUCUAAUUUUCCGAGUUUCACCUGUAAAAUGAUGAUGAUGAUGAUGACUUUGCCCUUUCCUUUUUACCAGUCUCCUGCUCAUCGCUGACCAAAGCAGGACUUGCUGUCUGUCUGCACGGACAGCAAGCCUUACUUGCCAGGGAACAACCAGAAAUGCACUUUAAGGCUCCAUAUUGUUGCUUUGCAGUCACAUUUUUACCUUUACCGGCCCACCUGAAGUCACAUAGGAGAGGUGGGUGUGGUUUUGGAAAAAUGGCCUCGUGGGCCAAAUUAGAAGCUCUGCUGGGCCUAAUUUGGCUUGCAGGCCGGAAGUUCCCCACCCCUGCCUUAAGAGUAGUUUUUACCAACUGGUUGCCUUCCGGCUGGUUUGGACCACAACUCCCAUCACUCCUGGCCAGCAUGGCUGUGCUGUCAUCAGCCCUAGGGAAAUACAGCUGGGGAGCCGUGGUUCAAAACAUCUGGAGGGCACCAGGUUGGGGAAGGCUGGCACAACCCUUUCAAAUGGGACCUUCUGCUUCCUAGGAAUGGAAUCUAGAAUCCUAAGCCACAGUCUAGAGAAGAGCUUUCCAAACUUUCCAUACUGGUGACACACUUUUUAGACAUGCAUCAUUUUGCGACACAUUUUGCAGGUGGUGCUGUGGGUUAAACCACAGAGCCUAGGGCUUGCCGAUCAGAAGGUCAGCAGUUCGAAUCCCCACGUCGGGGUGAGCUCCCGUUACUCGGUCCCUGCUCCUGCCAACCUAGCAGUUCAAAAGCACGCCAAAAAGUGCAAGUAGAUAAAUAGGUACCGCUCCGGCGGGAAGGUAGACGGUGUUUCCGUGCGCUGCUCUGGUUCGCCAGAAGCGGCUUAGUCAUGCUGGCCACAUGUCCCAGAAGCUGUACGCCAGCUCCCUCGGCCAAUAAAGCGAGAUGAGUGCCGCAACCCCAGAGUCGGUCACGACUGGACCUAAUGGUCAGGGGUCCCUUUACCUUUUAAUGUAGUUUUACUAGCAAACCGGAGGUUAAACUAACCCCUUUCCAGCCCCGGAUGGAGCGCAGGAAGCGUUGGCACAACACGAAUACACACCGCCACCAAUACACUAAUGUGUCAGGAGUGGACACACAGUUUGGAAAGCUCUGCUCUAGUGUCAAGAAUCAGCCAAGGUAAGAUUAAUUUGAUUUGGGUGACGUCUAGUGGUCAGAAUGUGAACAUCAGCAAAGGGGGGGGGGGAACAAUUUUCACAAAUGGGUAGAGAGGGAGUGAUAUCUUUGCAACUCUUUCCACCUGAGAGAGGAAGAACAGGAACAGCUAUCUCCAAUUGAGAUAUUCACUCUUGAUUAGGAAUGUCACCUUCGGAUAAAAGGCUGUUAAGACCAGGGGUACAUGGGGCUGCCCUUGAAGACGACGUGGAUAACAAUAACAACAACAACAACUUAUUACUGUAUUUAUACCUGAAAUAUACUCGGAGUCCUGCAGUGAUUUCAUGCUCUUUAUUGCAGCUUGCAAAACAGUGAUUGAAUUUCCCCCCAAACCUCAGGCCUUUAUAUACAUUAUUUACACAAUGAGUCCCAUCUGAUUGGCUGGUUCUGCUUCCCUCCUGAAGCCUGAUUGGUCUUCUCCUGCAAGCCAAUCAGUUGUUGCAUUCUAGGAUCCUACCUGCCUAUUGUUCUAGGAUCCAAGCUUAGUACAUAACAAUACCCCACCCAUCUGGCUGGGUUUCCCAAGCCACUCUGGGCAGCUUACAUAAAAAAUGGUAAAACAUCAGACAUUGAAAACUUCCCGAUACAGGGCUGCCUUCAGAUGGCUUCUAAAAGUCAGAUAGUUGUUUAUCUCCUUGACAUCUGAUGGGAGGGUGUUCCACAGGGCAGGCGCCACUACCGAGAAGGCCCUCUGCCUGGUUCCCUGCAACCUCACUUCUCGCAGUGAGAGAACCACCAGAAGGCCCUUGGAGCUGGACCUCAGUGUCAGGGCUGAAUGAUGGGUGGUGGAGACGCUCCUCCAGGUAUACUGGGCUGAGGCAGAAACAUCAUUUGGUCCAAAAUGCACCAGCCAGAUUACUGGCUGGGGUUCCAUUUAGACCUCCUGUUUUAAAACUGCUGGUCUGGUUGCCAGUUCAUUUCUGGACCCAGUUCAAGGUGCUCAACAUUGGUGUUUGAAGCCCUAAAUGACCCAGGUCCCAAAUAUCUGAAAGGCCACCUGCUUUCCUACAGACCCUCUUGGGUGCUGAGAUCAGUAGACUGAGGCCUCUUGGUUGUCCCUCCACGCACAGAUAAUCUGGGUGGGUGAGGGUAGCAGCCUGAGACAGGACCUUCUCUGUGGUGGCCCCUAAGCUGUGGAACCCCCCUCCCCACAGAGCUGAAUCUAAUACCUUCUGGUGAAUACCUUUUACCCUGCAUUUUGACACUUGAGGCAUAUAUUUUCAGGAUCCACCUUUUUAUGAUUGUAAGCUGUUUUAAUAUUUGUUGUGUUUUAUUGUUGUAACCCACCCUGGUACCUUAGGGGGAAGGACGGGUAAUUAAAUAAGAAUAAGAGUAAUAUUUUUCUGGGGGGGCUAAUUUCAUAUUAUAACUAUAUACUGCAUGAAGAAGUCCUUUCUUUUGUCUUUCCUGAAUUUUCCAAUGUUCAGCCUCGUUGGCUGACCGUGAGUUCUGGUGAGAAAAGUUUUCUUUUCUGUAUUUGCUUUAUCCAUGACCAUUCAUUGCAAUUUUUGUUUACUUACAGCAGCAUUUCCUCCUCCCUGGUGUGGAGACCAAGUUGAUUCCUGAGGAAGGGAUUUUGCAAUAUUGGGUGGGGGAUUUUUGGGGGCAACAUUUAGCCAUCUUAAGCAGGGCCGGAUUUAGGUUUGAUGAGGCCCUUAGCUACUGAAGGUAAUAGGGGCCUUUAUAUGUCCAGCUGUCCUUUGUCAACAACAAAUUGUCGCUGUUUUUCAUGUUGAAUAUAUGCUAUAUGGUAAUUUAUGGACCUAAUAGGUAUCUAAAGCCCUUUGCACAUGUUGGCAUGCAACCAGUCCAUGCAGAAUGUAGGCACCCUAUAUAUAGAAAUGAGCAAAACAGUGAUAUAUUAGGGAGCAGGCUAGCAGGUGGGUCCCAUUACUUACCGUAUUUUUUGCUCUAUAAGACUCACUUUUUCCUUCCUAAAAAGUAAGGGGAAAUGUGUGUGCGUCUUAUGGAGCGAAUGCAGGCUGCGCAGCUAUCACAGAAGCCAGAACAGCAAGAGGAAUUGCUGCUUUCACUGCGCAGCGAUCCCUCUUGCUGUUCUGGCUUCUGAGAUUCAGAAUAUUUUUUUUCUUGUUUUCCUCCUCCAAAAACUAGGUGCGUCUUGUGGUCUGGUGCAUCUUAUAGAAUGAAAAAUAUGGUACAUCAUAGGAGCCUAUACAACACAAAACACUGUUGCUGUAUGUAGGUUUUGUUUUAUUUAUUUUUUAUCGUAUAUUUUGGAAAUAUACAUCCAGUUUCUUUUCCUUUAAUUUUUUUGGGGGCCCCCAAGAGAGUGGGGCCCUAAGCUAUAGCUUGUUUAGCUUAUACGUAAACCCGGCACUGAUCUUAAGCCAGGGAUGGUUGGGCAGAAGGCGGAUGAUUUUGUGCUGUGACAUCAGCAAUGCAUCUCCUAAGCCAAAACCCGAUUCCUCUUUCUGCAUCCACAGCACCUUUCCCAGAAAAUCCCCAGCUAAGUUUCAGACAACUAUAUUAUGGAUAUCUUGGGAAUCAAUCACAGUUUCUCCUUCUCUUAAAAAAAUAAAAAGAAGAAUUUUGAUUCUAGACUGAUCUGCUGCUGCAAGAGGCUUCAAGACUUGAGUAGGAGAAGGUUUGGGAAGGGAGGAGAGGCAUCCUCACCAUACAUAUUUCAUAGGCUGUUUGCUCUCAGCCUGACGCGGCAGAAACCUGCCUCCCUCCCCCCCCCCCCCAAAAACAAGCAAUGUCUGGCAGAUGGUGAGAAGUUCCAGGAAUCCCACCUGGGAGAAGGAGAUGGAUGAGGCAGAAAUGCCUCCCUUUGCAUUUCAGCAGAAAUGUCAAGCAUGCCUGGAAAGUACAGUGGUACCUUGGUUCUCAAACGCCUUGGUACUCAAUCACCUUGGUUUCCAAACACUGAAAACCCGGAAGUAAGUGUUCCAGUUUCCGAACGUUUUUCGGAAGCCGAAUGUGACUGUCAGCUAUUGUUUCCAGGGCACCUGCACCAAUCAGAAGCCGCGCCUUGGUUUUUGAACAUUUGGAAUGGAUUAAGUUUGGUGUUUUUGUUUUUGCUAUUUAUUUUGUGUGAACCCAGUUCAGCUACUGAUGGACUGAUUGUGUGAUUGUGGAGAUGGAUAAAAGCCCCCCCAUCCAAACAAUGACUGUCAUCAGCGCAGGUAAGAAAAUUUUUUACUUUUAAUUUUUAGCAUCUACAAUACUGUCUUAUUUAUUUUAUAGUACAGUACAUCGAUUAUUGCUUUCAUUUUAUGGGUCAACAAUCUCGUUAGAUAGUAAAACUCACAUUAAAUUGAUGUUUUAGGGGUUGUUUUUAAAAGUCUGGAACAGAUUAAUCCGUUUUGCAUUGCUUUCUAUGGGCAAGCACACCUUAGUUUUGGAACGCUUUGGUUUUGGAACGGACCUCCGGCAGGGAUUAUGUUUGAGAACCAAGGUACCACUGUAUGUGCAUGCGCUCUCUCUGUCUCUCUCUGUCUCUCUCUCUCACACACAGUGCGACUGCAUUUGGAAUGAUGUGCACAGUUCUGGUUGCCUCACCUCCAAAAGGAUAUUGAAGAAAAGGUUAAGAAAAGGGUAACCGGGGCAGAGGUGACAAAUCUACUGCCCCACAGGUCAGAUCAGCCCCCCAAAGCCAUUCCUAGCAGCCCAUCAGCUCCCAUCUUCGAAGCCACUCGCACGCUACAUUUAAACUGCGGGACUUGACAUCUUUCUGCAGGGCCUGCAAGACAGAGCUGUUCUACCUGGCCUUCGGUUUAGACUCAGUCUGACCCUUAUGUUUCCCUCCCCUUCAUGGUUUUGAUCUAUGGGCUACUUUUAAAAUGAGGCUGCAUUUUAAAUUGCAUUGUAACCUGUAUUUUAAAUUGUUUUGUUUCCUUGUUAUGUUUUUACUUUAAUUUAGUGGUGUUAGCCACCCUGAGCUUGGCUCUGGCUGGGGAGGGCAGGGUAUAAAUAAAAUUUACUAUUAUUAUUAUUACAGUGGUACCUCGGGUUACAUACGCUUCAGGUUACAUAAGCUUCAGGUUACAGACUCCGCUAACCAAAAAAUAGUGCUUCAGGUUAAGAACUUUGCUUCAGGAUGAGAACAGAAAUCAUGCUCUGGUGGCACAGCAGCAGCAGGAGGCCCCAUUAGCUAAAGCGGUGCUUCAGGUUAAGAACAGUUUCAGGUUAAGAACGGACCUCUGGAAUGAAUUAAGUACUUAACCUGAGGUACUACUGUAUUAUUAAAGCACUAUCAUGCCACUUUUAACAGUCACAGCUUUCCCCAAAGGAUCCUGGGAGCUGUAGUUUGUUAAGUGUGCUGAAAGUUGUUAAUGGAUCCCCUCUUUCCUUCCUAGAGCUACAAUUCCCCGUGAUCCCUGGGAAGAGGGGUCGAUUGUUUAAACCACUGUGGGGGAGAGACAAAUGCCAUUUAAGAAGGAUGCUAAAGAUUGGUAAUGUCAUUCAGGAAUAUCACCAGCAGGUGGCAGCAUUGGAACAACUAUAAAAAAUCCAUUUUAUUUUUACAAAUAGUGGGUGGGUGGCUGGGGUGGGGGGCGUUGUAAGGUGUAUUUUUUCCCUUAGAAAAAGAUCCUAUCUUUGUACUUGUCUCUCCCCCUGUCCCUCAUGCCUCCGCUUCCAGCUUUACACUAGUUUCUCUGUACAUUGCAUAUAUUAUAGCAUGUUCUCUUCUGAUGUCCCCAAUUUCUAACCACCUCCCUCUCCCGCUGUUACUUGUUAGGAUACCCCCUAGUCCCCCCCAAGAGCUACAAUUCUCAUAGUUACCUGUGAAGAGGCAACCACUAUAACCACUAUACCAUAAAGGUAAAGGUAAAGGUACCCCUGACCAUUAGGUCCAGUCGUGACCGACUCUGGGGUUGUGGCGUUCAUCUCGCUUUAUUGGCUGAGGGAGCCGGCGUACAGCUUCUGGGUCAUGUGGCCAGCAUGACUAAGCCGCUUCUGGCGAACCAGAGCAGCGCACGGAAACGCCGUUUACCUUCCCGCUGGAGCGGUCCCUAUUUAUCUACUUGCACUUUGACGUGCUUUCGAACUGCUAGGUUGGCAGGAGCAGGGACCGAGCAGCGGGAGCUCACCUCGUCACGGGGAUUCGAACCGCCGACCUUCUGAUCGGCAAGUCCUAGGCUCCGUGGUUUAACCCACAGUGCCACCCGCGUCCCUUCCAGGGAGGGAACAGGUCCCGUAACAACAUCCAGUUCCCUUAACAUACUACAGCUCCCAGUAUUUUUUGAAUCAUACUCCUUUAAAUGUAUGGUGUGAAUGUGGCCUCUGUUAUAGGAAUUUUAAGGUCUUAUAUAUAUAUAAAAAAUAAAUGUUCAUAAAUGUACAAGGCGAACACAUACAUAAGUAUAUAAACCACGUGUCUGAAAUAGUACAGGAGAGCAAUCCUGAAGCCAUUUUGACUCUCCCAAAUUGACCUCAAAUAUUUCUCUGCAAGGAGGAAGGAAAUAGGAAAAGCUUUCCAAUUGUCUUUGGACUGGAGGGGCUUACACCUCCCUGCAAAAACAGUCUGGCAAGUAUUUGUUAAACUAUCAAUAGGUGUAAGAGAUGCAGGAAUGAAAGUGUUUAUCAUCUCAAAGGAAUGGCCAGGCUACCCUGAAAAUGCAGUCAAGCAAGGCAUUAUUCUGGCAGACAGGAGAGAAGCAACACACUCAAAUUUCUGCUGGGGACCGCCUCCUUGUGUGAUAUAUGUAUGAUGUUUCGGGGAGUGGUCUUUAGCUACAGGCAAUUUCAAACGUUUAUAUAAAAGCUUGGACACCACUGUUCUGGGUUCCUCCUCUCUCCUGCGUGUGGUGAGUGGGGACCCUGUUGCAACAGUUUAAUAAAGAUCAGGCUUACUAGCUGCUUUGCUUCUCAAUAUUCUCUGGUUGGCCUCUGUUAUUUUCUCCUAUAGAAAACCUACAUAAGGAUGCUAUACGGGCUUUUGGGUACCCCAUAAGGGAUAAAGGAACUGUUUUUUCUUAUAACAGCCUCAUAUUUCAACCUGAUAACAGCCUGAUAUUUCAACAUUACCACAACAGGCAAACCUUUACCAGGGAGAAUGGCUAAUCGCUGCAUUCCCAUCCCUGGUAAUCAUAGAACUGUAGAACUGAAAGGGCACCCCAAGGGUCAUCUAGUCCAACCCCCUGUAAUGCAGGAAUCACAGCAAAAGAAUCCCGGACAGGUGUCCAACCAACCUCUGCUUAAAAACUUCCAAGGAACGAAAAGUCAUUACCUUCAUAAAAUGGAACAUACUCCCUUGGAAGCUCUCCUUCCUUGGGAGGACUUCCAACAGAGGUCUGAUGGCCACCUGCCAGGGAUUCUUCAGCUGUAAUAACAAUAAUAAUAAUAAUAAUAGUAAUAAUAAUAAUACUAAUAAUAAUUUAUUAUUUAUACCCUGCCCAUUUGGCUGGGUUUCCCCGCCACUCUGGGCUGCUCCCAACAGAAUAUUAAAAUACAAUAGUCUAUUAAACAUUAAAAGCUUCCCUAAACAGGGCUGCCUUCAGAUGUCUUCUAAAAGUCUGGCAGUUGUUUUUCUCUUUGACAACUGGUGGGAGGGCGUUCCACAGGGCAGGUGCCACUACCGAGAAGGCCCUCUGACUAGUUCCUUGUAACCUCACUUCUUAUAGGGAGGGAAUCGCCAGAAGGCGCUUGGCACUGGAACUCAGUAUGUGGGCUGAACUAUGGGGGUGGAGACGCUCCUUCAGGUAUACUGGGCUGAGGCCGUUUAGGGCUUUCAAGGUCAGCACCAACACUUUGAAUUGUGCUCAGAAACGUACUGGGAGCCAAUGUCGGUCUUUCAAGACCAGUGUUAUGUGGUCUCGGUGGCUGCUACCAGGCUAGCUCAUUCGGAGGGGUUGGAGUAGAUGACCCCUGGGAUCCCUUCCAACUCAAUGAUUCUGUGAUUACCAGGAAUCUGUGUGCAGACCACAGGCCUCACCCCCCAGCUCCAAAACUCUUGACAUUCUCUUUCCGUGCCUCCCCUCAUGUAGCAGGUGGGCCUGGAGUCUGGGCAGACAACCUGUCUUGCUGCAGCCCAGCCGGUGAGGCUUCCCCCUGCCCGCCAAAGGAAAUGCCUGCAAAUCUAUAAAUAAGCAAUUAGCGCUUCUUCUCCCAUCAAGAGGGGCAUGCGGUGGGAAUGCGGGCGCUCCCCCCCCCGCUAAAGAUCCUCGCUGGCGGAACAGACAGCUGCAUCUGUGCAGCGUUUCGCAGCCGCUUAAUAUUCCCCAACAAAAGUCCUUCCACAAUGAAAACUUUAAUUGCAUUAAUCUUCCAAUGGCUGCACAUUUCCAACCUCCCUCCCAACCCAAAUCCACAUCUCUGCUUCUCUUCCCCUGACAACCCGUUAAACUGAAUCUCCCUGCUAAUCGCAGCUGCCAAAGCACAAUAACGAUCUCGCGCUGGACGUGCGUUUGCUAAUUAGACAAGCGUGGAAAAAUAGCUGCUGGCGGAUGAGAGUGAGGGCCUUUCAUCUUGGAAGAGGGCCAGCUGUCACCCUUCCACUACGUGACGUCCGGCUUCAGGAAAACCGCCUUGUAUGCAGUCAGAUCAAUGGUCUCUCUAGGCUCAGGGCUCAUCCACACUUAGCUUCCGGCAAUUUCUUGGCACAGAUCCAUACUUUAAAGCUCUGCAUCUGAGCGCUUCCCCCUCACUGCUUUCUGCAGGAAAACCUGCUCUUUAAAGCUGAUUUGGAACCAACGGCUGUUUGGGUUUUCUGCAGAAUGCUGUUGUAAUAAACAGAAAUCUGCCCUUUUCCCUCAUGGGGUAUCCAAGAGCCCAUAUAGAGUCCUUACAUAGGUUCCCUAUUGGUAGGAGAAAAUAACAGAGGCCAACCAGAGAAUAUCGAGAAGCAAAGCAGCUAGCAAGCCUGAUCUUUAUUGAUCCGUUGUAACAGGGUGCUCCCCUCACACGCAGGAAAGGAGGAGGACCCAGAACCCAGGUGUGUCUGCCCUUAUAUAGACAUUUUAAACUGCCCGCCCUGGAGUUCAAGACCACCCCCAGAAACAUCAUACAUCCAUCACAGAAGGGGCGGUCUACAGCAGAAAUCUGAGUGCGCUGUUUAUCUCCUGUUGUUGUUUAUCUCCUCUCUGGCAGGUUACCCGUUAAUGCUUCCUUGAUUGGAUACCCCGGGGAGCCUGGCCAGUCUUUUGUCAUGAUAAAUACUUAGUUCCUGAGCCAGGUCACAGGCUCACACCCUAUUCAUAUCUUAAAUGUGCCCUUAAGACAGGAUUUGUGAAGGAAAAGACAAUGGGGAGGCUUUUCCAUUUUCCUUUGACCUUGCAGAGAAAACAUUUGGUCAGUUUGGGAAUCAAAAAUGGUUUCAGGUUGAUCUUCCUGUGCUGAUCUAUGUACGUGCUUGGUUGGUACAUUUAUGAACAUUUAUUAUUCAUCUAAGACCUUAAAAUUCUUAUCACACUCUUUGCUCCGAUUCAGCUGCAAAGAGCGGGAUUUGCAGAAAGCAGUAGGGGGGGAAAGCCUUUGGAUACAGUGCUUUAAAGGGCAAACCUGUGCUUAGAAAUGUGGCACAAGGUGGUAGAGAUGUACACUAGUAAAAGCUUUCUGGGAAAUGAUCUACAAUGAAUGAAAGAAAAUGUUUAAAAAUACAUUUGUUAAGAAACCAGAAGCGUUUUUGUUAGGUAUAAUAGGUGAAGAGGUACCAAGAGAAGAUAAAAGACUUUUUAUGUCUGCAACGACGGCAGUGAGAAUGCUACUAGCCCAGAGAUGGAAGGAAGGAAGAAGUACCAACAAAAGAAGAAUGAAACUGAUGGAGUGUGCAGAGAUGGUGAAACUGACGGGGAAGAUCAGAAACCAGGAAGAUCAAGUACAGUCAUACCUCAUGUUACGUUUGCUUCAUGUUACACUUUUUCAGGUUGUGUCCCGCAGUGACCUGGAAGUAUCGGAAAGGGCUACUUCUGGGUUUCACUGCUUGCGCAUGUGCACAAGUGCAAAAUCUCACUUCGUGCAUACGCACAAGCGCCAAAUUGUGCGGCACACCUGCGCAGAUAUGGUGCUUCAGGUUGCAGGCUUUUCAUGUUGCGAACAAGCCUCCGGAACGGACCCCGUUCGCAACCAGAGGUAGUACUGAGUUGUUAAAAGACUGGAGUCAAUUUUUAAUUUAUUUAAAAGACCACUGUAAACAGUUAAAAUCCUUGGCAGGGAUGUAAUGACACUUGUAACGUGAAAUAACUAUGGUAAUUAUGGAUAUAUAUAUAUAUAUAUAUAUAUAUACACACAUAUAUAUAUCAGAUGGAUAACGGUAAAAGAUGCAGAAAAUUUAAUCAUAAAUAUGGAACCCAUGGGGGGGGGAGGGAAGGAGGUCCGAAGCCUCAAAAGAACCUUUUAUUUUAAUGUUUGAAAUAGUUAAAGUUAAAAUGUAUAAAAUUGUGUAAAACCAAUAAUUUUUUAUUUUAUUUUAAAUAGAAACGUGGCACAAAGAGGAAGUCUGGAUGAGCCCUCAGUGCUGCCUACAAUGACUGGCAGUGGGUCACAUGAGAACUGAAGAGGAGUGUUAUGUACUGAAGUUCUCACCCUGGGCCAGCAGGGGGAUACUGUAGAUAGUUCAGGUCCACAUAUGCAAAUAAGGGAUCGAAAGUGAUGUUCAGUGAUUGGAUGGUUACAGAAAGCUGUUACAGUUACGUUGUACUGGAGCUCUAUAUAAGCAGGCUGGCUGAGCUCUUCAGUUCAGUUCUGUUCUGGCCUGUGAAUAAACAAGAGCUGUUUGGAGAAUCGCUGUGUCGUCUGAUAUGUUCACCCACAACUUAACAAGGAGC
Molecule: non-coding RNA, 12598 nt
Organism: Podarcis lilfordi (Lilford's wall lizard)
Lineage: Eukaryota; Metazoa; Chordata; Lepidosauria; Squamata; Lacertidae
Source: the annotation of a GenBank genome assembly